GUCUGUGAUGCUACAAGGAAUCAUUUCAGAGAAUUACAAGGAUUCUUGUUGGCAUUGCCACUGUCCCAAGCUUUAAGUCUCAAGAACACAGUUCUGCGAAAGUGGGGACUGCUUGUGCUCCCCUACGUGGCUGGGGAAAGCUGCAGACCUCUGGAGAAGGCAACAGCAUCCAGCAGAAUUUGUGAGAGCAUCUCCCACCCGUAAGAGGUGUGAGGUAGCUCAUGCCAGUGGAGGGUACAGCUGAAGCAGAUUCAUGUCCUCGGAGGACAGUGAAGCAGGCAGUAGAUUCCUGAUCCCGGAACAUUCACUAGGAGGGUGUAGACUCCUGUUAUGUAACCAGAAUUCUGCAAGGACUCUGGAGAACACAGAAGCCAUGCAAGGCAUAGUCUUGACUAUUUGGCUUCAAUUGCACCCAGAAGGAACCAUAGAAUAGAAUGUGACUGAGGCAUCUCUCUCGGCUGCUCCUAUUUCUUUUUAGCAAUGUCCCUUGUGAUAUUCAUUUAUUUUAAUGUGAG
This 515-nucleotide long non-coding RNA is filed under the name Vombatus ursinus (common wombat). RNAcentral describes it as "lncRNA (ENSVURG00010017893.1)". Lineage: Eukaryota; Metazoa; Chordata; Mammalia; Diprotodontia; Vombatidae. The record is from RNAcentral.